GAACGCUGGCGGCGCGCCUAACACGUGCAAGUCGAACGAGAGAGGAAGAGCUUGCUCUUCUGAUCGAGUGGCGAACGGGUGAGUAACGCGUGAGGAACCUGCCUCAAAGAGGGGGACAACAGUUGGAAACGACUGCUAAUACCGCAUAAGCCCACGGCUCGGCAUCGAGCAGAGGGAAAAGGAGCAAUCCGCUUUGAGAUGGCCUCGCGUCCGAUUAGCUAGUUGGUGAGGUAAUGGCCCACCAAGGCAACGAUCGGUAGCCGGACUGAGAGGUUGAACGGCCACAUUGGGACUGAGACACGGCCCAGACUCCUACGGGAGGCAGCAGUGGGGAAUAUUGCACAAUGGGGGAAACCCUGAUGCAGCGACGCCGCGUGGAGGAAGAAGGUCUUCGGAUUGUAAACUCCUGUUGUUGAGGAAGAUAAUGACGGUACUCAACAAGGAAGUGACGGCUAACUACGUGCCAGCAGCCGCGGUAAAACGUAGGUCACAAGCGUUGUCCGGAAUUACUGGGUGUAAAGGGAGCGCAGGCGGGCGAUCAAGUUGGAAGUGAAAUCCAUGGGCUCAACCCAUGAACUGCUUUCAAAACUGAUUGUCUUGAGUAGUGCAGAGGUAGGCGGAAUUCCCGGUGUAGCGGUGGAAUGCGUAGAUAUCGGGAGGAACACCAGUGGCGAAGGCGGCCUACUGGGCACCAACUGACGCUGAGGCUCGAAAGUGUGGGUAGCAAACAGGAUUAGAUACCCUGGUAGUCCACACCGUAAACGAUGAUUACUAGGUGUUGGAGGAUCGACCCCUUCAGUGCCGCAGUUAACACAAUAAGUAAUCCACCUGGGGAGUACGACCGCAAGGUUGCAACUCAAAGGAAUUGACGGA
Molecule: ribosomal RNA, 873 nt
Filed under: uncultured organism
Description: bacterial SSU rRNA
Rfam family: Bacterial small subunit ribosomal RNA
Source: RNAcentral